Molecule: ribosomal RNA, 295 nt
Filed under: uncultured microorganism
Description: partial 16S ribosomal RNA
Rfam family: Bacterial small subunit ribosomal RNA
Source: RNAcentral
GUGCCAGCAGCCGCGGUAAUACGUAGGGCGCGAGCGUUGUCCGGAAUUUUUUGGGCGUAAAGAGCUCGUAGGCGGCUGGUCGCGUCUGUCGUGAAAUCCUCUGGCUUAACUGGGGGCUUUGCGGUGGGUACGGGCCGGCUUGAGUGCGGUAGGGGAGGCUGGAACUCCUGGUGUAGCGGUGGAAUGCGCAGAUUAUCAGGAAGAACACCGGUGGCGAAGGCGGGUCUCUGGGCCGUUACUGACGCUGAGGAGCGAAAGCGUGGGGAGCGAACAGGAUUAGAUACCCUGGUAGUCC